GAACCUGCGUAGGGAUCAUUUUUGCGAGGCGAUAUCCGAGGUUUAAUAACUAAGGAUUAUGUCUCUUUUUCGGGCCGUCAAAAGCGUCAAGCAGUUUUUUUUUCUCUUCAAGUCUUCAUAAUGGAUGACUUGGCUCUUGUAUCGAUGAAGAACGCAGUGAAAGGCGAAACGUAAUGUGAAUCGCAACUAACAGUGAAUCAUUGAAUCUUUGAACGCAGGCCGCAGCUUGUACAUCACUUGUGUUGUUGUAAGCUAUCUACGUAUGAGUGUCAGCCCAAUAUCCUUUUUGGUUCAGGAAAAUGAUCAUUUUUUAAAUGAUUCAAAUUCUUGAAUACAGACUUUAGGAAAUAAAUUAUGUCUGGCCUCACAUGUGGAAGGUCCCCGCUGGAUUAAGC
This 395-nucleotide ribosomal RNA is filed under the name Allovahlkampfia sp. VAH_814/10. RNAcentral describes it as "partial 18S ribosomal RNA". The stretch from base 110 to 272 matches the Rfam family "5.8S ribosomal RNA". Lineage: Eukaryota; Heterolobosea; Eutetramitea; Acrasida; Acrasidae. The record is from RNAcentral.